UUGUUGGUAAGGUAAAAGCUUACCAAGGCUUCGAUCAGUAGCUGGUCUGAGAGGACGACCAGCCACACUGGGACUGAGACACGGCCCAGACUCCUACGGGAGGCAGCAGAGGGGAAUUUUGGACAAUGGGGGCAACCCUGAUCCAGCCAUGCCGCGUGAGUGAAGAAGGCCUUCGGGUUGUAAAGCUCUUUCAGCCGGAACGAAACGGUUACGGUUAAUACCCGUGACUACUGACGGUACCGGAAGAAGAAGCACCGGCUAACUACGUGCCAGCAGCCGCGGUAAUACGUAGGGUGCGAGCGUUAAUCGGAAUUACUGGGCGUAAAGCGUGCGCAGGUGGUUUUGUAAGUCAGAUGUGAAAGCCCCGGGCUCAACCUGGGAACUGCGUUUGAAACUACAAGACUAGAGUGUGGCAGAGGGGGGUGGAAUUCCGCGUGUAGCAGUGAAAUGCGUAGAGAUGUGGAGGAACACCGAUGGCGAAGGCAGCCCCCUGGGUCAACACUGACGCUCAGGCACGAAAGCAUGGGGAGCGGACAGGAUUAGAUACCCUGGUAGUCCAUGCCCUAAACGAUGUCAACUAGUUGUCGGGCCUUUACGGGCUUGGUAACGUAGCUAACGCGUGAAGUUGACCGCCUGGGGAGUACGAUCGCAAGAUUAAAACUCAAAUGAAUUGACGGGGACCCGCACAAGCGGUGGAUUAUGUGGAUUAAUUCGAUGCAACGCGAAAAACCUUACCUACCCUUGACAUGUAUCGAAGCCCGCAGAAAAGCGGGGGUGCCCGAAAGGGAACGAUAACACAGGUGCUGCAUGGCUGUCGUCAGCUCGUGUCGUGAGAUGUUGGGUUAAGUCCCGCAACGAGCGCAACCCUUGUCAUUAAUUGCCAUCAUUUAGUUGGGCACUUUAAUGAGACUGCCGG
Molecule: ribosomal RNA, 916 nt
Filed under: uncultured bacterium
Lineage: Bacteria
Description: bacterial SSU rRNA
Rfam family: Bacterial small subunit ribosomal RNA
Source: RNAcentral